UAGCGGUCGAGGUGCAGAGGGAGGGGGAUCGACAGGGAGGGGGAUCGUCCGACGACAAUCAUAAUAGUUCUCUAUCGCUUGUUGUGAAACAAACAUCAGCAUGUUAAGGGACUUCUACGCAUUUAACGGGCAAUUGAAAACGGGGAACUAUCCUAGCGUGGAGAAAGUCUCUAUAGCGGUGGAUAAACAGUCAAUAUGGUAAGCCCCUUCUGUGGACUGUAGCCUAGGUAUGCAGCAACAGGCUGAACGAGUUUCCUGCCUGGCGUGCUGCCUGGCGUGCUUCCUGGCUACCUGAAACAACUUCUGAUGGACAAUGACCCAACACACCUCCAGGUUGGACAAUGACACCUUAACAGGACAAUGACCCAACACACCUCCAGGUUGGACAAUGACACCUUAACAAGACAAUGACCCAACACACCUCCAAUUCCCAAAGAGCGUCUCCGAUCAGGAAAGCUGAUGUUGUCAGGUACGGUGGACUGGCUGGGACGAGCGGUUGUCGUCACUGAAACGCACCUCCCUGAGGACGGUUGCCGUGAGGAUGAGAUGGGCCGUGUCUUAGCCUGCUAUCACAGGGUAACCCUGUAAAUCACCUGUCACUAUGUCAAACUCUGUCAGUACAAUAUUACAGUCUAGUCUGGGGGGACCCUUUAUAGCGUAACACUCACAGCACUACUGGCAGUGUAAAAAACUCUGUGAUACUUUAUAUAGUGGUUUUGUAGUAGCCUGGGUACCUUCUGUUUAGCUAACAUUCCACUC
Oncorhynchus mykiss (rainbow trout) is the source of this 759-nucleotide non-coding RNA. NCBI's taxonomy places the organism in Eukaryota, Metazoa, Chordata, Actinopteri, Salmoniformes, Salmonidae. The record is from RefSeq and is a predicted model, not a curated record.